GACAUGCAGAGAACUUUCAGAGAUGGAUGGUGCCUUCGGGAACUCUGACACAGGUGCUGCAUGGCUGUCGUCAGCUCGUGUCGUGAGAUGUUGGGUUAAGUCCCGUAACGAGCGCAACCCUUGUCCUUAGUUACCAGCACGUUAUGGUGGGCACUCUAAGGAGACUGCCGGUGACAAACCGGAGGAAGGUGGGGAUGACGUCAAGCCAUCAUGGCCCUUACGGCCUGGGCUACACACGUGCUACAAUGGUCGGUACAAAGGGUUGCCAAGCCGCGAGGUGGAGCUAAUCCCAUAAAACCGAUCGUAGUCCGGAUCGCAGUCUGCAACUCGACUGCGUGAAGUCGGAAUCGCUAGUAAUCGUGAAUCAGAAUGUCACGGUGAAUGCGUUCCCGGGCCUU
Molecule: ribosomal RNA, 398 nt
Filed under: uncultured Pseudomonas sp.
Lineage: Bacteria; Pseudomonadati; Pseudomonadota; Gammaproteobacteria; Pseudomonadales; Pseudomonadaceae
Description: bacterial SSU rRNA
Rfam family: Bacterial small subunit ribosomal RNA
Source: RNAcentral